AGGGUUCUGUGGUGUACGGCACGUGGGAUUGCAAAUCCUGAAGAGUAGAUGAGGCUACCGGGGCUU
Molecule: transfer RNA, 66 nt
Filed under: Thorius n. sp. RLM-2004
Lineage: Eukaryota; Metazoa; Chordata; Amphibia; Caudata; Plethodontidae
Description: tRNA-Cys
Source: RNAcentral